Molecule: long non-coding RNA, 1784 nt
Filed under: Mus musculus (house mouse)
Lineage: Eukaryota; Metazoa; Chordata; Mammalia; Rodentia; Muridae
Description: long non-coding RNA chr11:83662586-83664370
Source: RNAcentral
ACAGCACUCGGCCAGCUUCUGAAGCUUCUGGGCCCUGCAGUCCCAGCUCUGUGCAAACCUAACCCCGAGCAACACCAUGAAGCUCUGCGUGUCUGCCCUCUCUCUCCUCUUGCUCGUGGCUGCCUUCUGUGCUCCAGGGUUCUCAGCACCAAGUAAGUUGACUCUUCCAGCUGCUUCCAGCCCCCACCUAGUCCAGUCUUCCAACUGGGGUCAGCUCAAUAGUCAGGCUUGGGCAGGGGAACCAGAGGGAGCUGGGAAGAUUCCCAAGUCUGUUGUUAAACAUGGAAUCUUCCAGACAGCCAUUAAUCCUUAAGCUCCCAAAAGAGGGAAUCCUUCACAGCCAAUGGUCAGAUAUUGAAUCAGCUUUCUCUCUGGUUUAAACUUGUUUGUCUUUAUGCCUUGAUUUCCCCACCUUUAAUAUGAAGCAAUUGAGAGGUGUUCUGAGUUUUGAUCUAGUUUCAAUCUUCUAGAUUUCUUUCCCCUUCUUCUUAGAGAAGUAUCUAGUUAGAGUAGAAAUAUCAUUCUGGGCUGGAGAGAUGGCUCAAUGGUUAAGAGCACUGACUGCUCUUCCAGAGGACCUGAGUUCAAUUCCCAGCAACCACAUGGUGGCUCACAACCAUCUGUAAUAGGAUCCGACGCACUCUUCUACUGUGUGUCUGAAGAUAGCUGCAGUGCACUCAUAUAAAUAAAUAAAAGUUUAUUAAUCAAUUAGUUAAUUAAUUAAAAAGAAAAAGAAGUCUCAUUCUGGGUGGAUGACCAUAGAUUUCAGGGACCAUGUUUUGGGUUCCAGUAGUCCAUAAGAAUGCUCAAUGAAGAUUUAUAAUGAACAGUGCCUGGUACAGUUUUGACCUUACCCUCACUUUUCCUUCCAGUGGGCUCUGACCCUCCCACUUCCUGCUGUUUCUCUUACACCUCCCGGCAGCUUCACAGAAGCUUUGUGAUGGAUUACUAUGAGACCAGCAGUCUUUGCUCCAAGCCAGCUGUGGUGUAAGUACACAUUGGGAUGAGGGCAAGAUUCGAAAAGGGCCAGGUUCAGGUGAAAAUGUUAUCUAACUGACGGGGGUCAAUUCUAAGGGUUGAAGCUCUGCCAAAGAACAGUGAGGUCAUGGGGUUCUGGUGGCUGCUGGAUGGGCAGUAAAGUGUGGAGUCAGGAAUGGCUUUUGGGGAGGAAGUUGCUACACGCUACGGAACUAGAAAACAGAAGAUGACGCAUACAUACUAUUUAGAUAGAUUGCUUAAACUAUGUUAGAAGAGCAUGUAGAAAGGGCAUUUGAAAAAUUGGGAGACAUAUUCAUAUUGAUUAUCAAGCCUGUUGUUUUCUAAUAUAGGGAACCCCUGAGGCUGCAGCUACACCUAUGGGUCAGAGUUAUAGGGGGUCUAAUGUAGGGUCAUCCAGAAAGGAUGAUGUACUAUGGCUACCCAUACAAACAAUGGUCAAGCAGAACAUGAUUUCCAAGUCUGCUGUUAAAUAGAGUCUAUCAGACAGUCAUUAGUCCUUAAGCGUCUGUUUCCUUAAGAAUUAACAGCCAAUAGAGGGAGAUGGUGGACUGGAAGUCAGAUAUUGAAUGAGCUUUCUCUCUGGUUUAAAUGUGUUUGUCUCUAUGGCUUGAUUUCAAAGGCAUAGGCAUAUGUCUUGAGGCAAAGGACAGUGGUAGAUGUCCUCUAAGGUCCCAUGGGGUUCUCAUCUGUGCUCUCUUUCUUUUACAGAUUCCUGACCAAAAGAGGCAGACAGAUCUGUGCUAACCCCAGUGAGCCCUGGGUCACUGAGUACAUGAGUGACUUGG